RNAcentral lists this transfer RNA (72 nucleotides) under Phrynosoma platyrhinos (Desert horned lizard). RNAcentral describes it as "tRNA-OTHER". The record is from RNAcentral. Lineage: Eukaryota; Metazoa; Chordata; Lepidosauria; Squamata; Phrynosomatidae.
GCCGACAUGGCAUAGUGGUUUGAGUGCUGGAUUAUGACUCUGGAGACCAGGGUUCGAAUCCCAGCUCCGCCA